RNAcentral lists this ribosomal RNA (430 nucleotides) under uncultured eukaryote. Its description in RNAcentral is "SSU rRNA". It matches the Rfam family "Eukaryotic small subunit ribosomal RNA", at positions 567 to 990 of the family's 1831-position model. The record is from RNAcentral.
CCAGCAGCCGCGGUAAUUCCAGCUCCAGUAGCGUAUAUUAAAGUUGUUGCAGUUAAAAAGCUCGUAGUUGGAUUUCUGGUUGACGGCGUAUGGUCCGGCGUCCUCAGGAUGCUGUGUACCGUCGUGUGUCUGCCAUCCUUCCAGAGAGUUGUGCCUACCGGCUCGUCCGGCAGGGCGCUGCGAUCUGGAUCUUUUACUUUGAAAAAAUUAGAGUGUUCCAAGCAAGCUUACGCUUUGAAUACAUUAGCAUGGAAUAAUAAUAUAGGACUUUUGUCUUAUUUUGUUGGUUUCUAAGAUGGAAGUAAUGAUUGAUAGGGAUAGUUGGGGGUGCUAGUAUUCAGCGGCCAGAGGUGAAAUUCUUGGAUUCGCUGAAGACUAACUACUGCGAAAGCAUUCACCAAGGAUGUCUUCUUUAAUCAAGAACGAAAGU